AUUGAACGCUGGCGGCAUGCCUUACACAUGCGAGUCGAACGGCAGCGGGGACUUCGGUCCGCCGGCGAGUGGCGAACGGGUGAGUAAUACAUCGGAACGUGCCCUGUAGUGGGGGAUAACUAGUCGAAAGAUUAGCUAAUACCGCAUACGACCUGAGGGUGAAAGGGGGGGACCGCAAGGCCUCAUGCUAUAGGAGCGGCCGAUGUCUGAUUAGCUAGUUGGUGGGGUAAGGGCCUACCAAGGCGACGAUCAGUAGCUGGUCUGAGAGGACGAUCAGCCACACUGGGACUGAGACACGGCCCAGACUCCUACGGGAGGCAGCAGUGGGGAAUUUUGGACAAUGGGCGAAAGCCUGAUCCAGCAAUGCCGCGUGUGUGAAGAAGGCCUUCGGGUUGUAAAGCACUUUUGUCCGGAAAGAAAUGGCUCUGGUUAAUACCUGGGGUCGAUGACGGUACCGGAAGAAUAAGGACCGGCUAACUACGUGCCAGCAGCCGCGGUAA
This 500-nucleotide ribosomal RNA is filed under the name uncultured bacterium. RNAcentral describes it as "partial 16S ribosomal RNA". It matches the Rfam family "Bacterial small subunit ribosomal RNA", at positions 29 to 523 of the family's 1533-position model. The record is from RNAcentral.